UUCGCAAGGGCUGUAGCCAAAGCAUUAAUGGGCAUAGGUGGCCCAGUAGCAGCAUCUCUUAUUGGCAUGCCACCCAUGUCAUAGGGAACAGAAAGCAUAGUUCCAGCAACACCUGGCAUGUUGCGGCCAGGUGGAUAUCCAUAGACACAUCCCCUAGGAAGCAUCUAGUACAAGCCAAUUUUUCUUAUAACUAAGCUGUGAGCAAUAAAUAAGCACAACAAUGAAAAGGCCUAAUUUCUAACAACCUGCUGGUGCAUCAGAGGGACUGGCUGCUUGGUCUGUUGAAUAGGACCUGCUCUGCUCCAUAACGCCCUCCAGGGCGCUGGCGCUGCUGAAAUAGUGGGACAAAGAAAUUUGGCACCCAGGCCUCAUUCCAGGAACAAGUUGCUGCUGGUAUCCAACUAGCCUAAGGAAAUUGAAAGAUUCAAUAUCAAUAACAACAAUGAUGAGAUUAUUGUACAUCUAGAGAAUCACGUUCACUUCAUUAUUUGCACCUAAACUCGUAAAUGCAAUCAAAUUCACCACAAACACCAAGAGACUAGACUAAUCAUACUUCAUUAUCAUAUCCAAUUCAGACUACAAAAAUGAUGAAUAUAAAAUGAAGAUUUUUAGAAAUACAAGGCACUGAGUGCCACAAUGUUCAAGAAAAUCCAUCUCAGAUAGCUUUUACUCUUUUUCUACUCUUAUUGGACCAUCACAGACAAGAACAUUUCUUCCAACUACAAGUAGCAGACAUAUACAAAUUAUUUUAAAAAAAAUGAAAAUAGUAGAGCCAUUACAAAUACAGCUGGACAAUUUUAGAACAAUCAUAAAACUUUUACCUUCUUUAGAUCAGCAUACGAUGUAAAUGCAGAUUACAAAAAUAGUCAUCCAAACCAAGAUCAAAGAGGAUGAAACUAGAAGCCAAGCACACAAUUUCAAUAAAGCAAAAAAAUUCAAACAUAAAAAUGAACAAUCAUGUUUGCAACAACUGAUUAUUAAGUAGAACCAUUUUCUUUUUCUCACUGGAUCAAGUAGUAUGAAUGUAGCAAAGAAAAAGAAAUUAAAGACAGGUUACCUGGGAGGAAUUAUGGCUGAAGGUGCCUGACUAUAUAAAAAUUGCUGACCUAGGCCAGUACCUGGAGAAUGUAUUGGCAUUCGAGGAGCAACUGAAGAUGCCAUGGUAACUGGCCUCAUCUGUGAAAACUGUGCCUGCAGGGAACACACCUCCCGUGUGAAAAAAAGGAGUUCAUAGAUAUACGGAUAAUGUGUCAUCUUAACAAAUUCAGUGAAAAUUAACACCUAAAAAGGGGGAAUCAAGAUAACUAAUAAACAUUCAUCCUGCACCAGAUAAAGAAAGGGACAUUUAAUUCAUGCCAACAUAACAAAUAUCCAUUGAUAAAUCAAUUACUAAAUGAAAUCCAAUCGCACUCUAAUGAUAUGCAAUAUUUAAAAAAAAAAUUGUUCAAAAGAUCCUCUCUUUAUAAAUAGGGGAAAAAAAUCAAUUGGAGAAAUCUGUAGGUCAAUCAAAAUGGUCUUAUGAGUGUCAGUGUCAAAGCACGACAAAUAACAGCUGAAUCAAAUAAUAUGUUAACCACAAAGGCAAUGCAUGUGCCCACAUAAAUCCAGCUUAUCUGAAUGCAACAUGACAUAGACGAAAUCCAAUCCUCGGGAAAUUCAUAAAUCAUCAUAGAAAAUAUUAGAAUAUUAGUCCAGUAGCUCCUCAACCAUAAUACCUGAAGUCUUGCCCUUCGCUCUUCCUUCCGUUGAGCAAGAGCGACAUAGAGGGGUUUGCCAACCACCAUUUUACCAUUCAUCUCUGAAAGCUCUAUAGAAACAAAUAAGCACACAUUAAUUUCUGAUCACAUACUAUAACAACCAUAAAGAUUAGAACUUACAGCACAAGACGCUUCCUCAAGAGUUGAAAAGGCGACAAAACCAGAACCUCUGCUAAUUUCACUUGGGUCACACAUAACCUGCAAAUUAAAGACUUAAAAUUGAUGAAUUAUAGAAGAGAUGAGAUCAUUAAAAAUGUUUACCACAUAAGGAAACAUAAUUACAUGCCUUGCAUGAAGUAAUUGUACCAAAGUCGGCAAACAGUUCCUUUAGCUUCUCAUCAUUGAUGCUAUCA
Molecule: unclassified non-coding RNA, 2110 nt
Filed under: Hevea brasiliensis (rubber tree)
Lineage: Eukaryota; Viridiplantae; Streptophyta; Magnoliopsida; Malpighiales; Euphorbiaceae
Source: RNAcentral